AAGUAUAUAGGAGUUGUAGAAGUUAAUUAAGAUGUCAUCGCUGUGAUAGUUGUGAGCUGGGGUAAGCUUGGUGCUACCUCUUUUCUUUUGUUUGGUAUUUUCUUUGAAUAAGAGGAUUGAGAGUUUUUGAAUAUUGUGAAGUGAAUUAUGGAAUGGAAAUAAGAUUGGUAUUAUUUGAAAAAAAGAAAGAUUGAAUGCUGAAAUCUGAUUGUAGUUCAACAGAGAGAAUGAGUCUGUGUUUGUGUGAAAUACCGUAAUGUGAAAGGCAGUUUUGUGUGAAGAAUUCCAAUGAUUGGAAUGAGGGUAAUUGUGAGCUGAAAGCUAUGAUGGCACAGUAUUAUAGUUGGAGAUUAUGAGGGUGAAUAUAUUGGUGGAAAUAAUAGUUAUUGGUAUGACUGAAUUGUUGUAAAGAAGAGAUCGAUAAGAUGAAGGAAGAGAUUAUAGUUUCCUUGUGUGUUCAAAUAUUGGAAAUAGAGAUGAUACAUUCAGGAGGUAAUUGAUUGUGUGACCCUAACAUGAACGCUUAAGCAACUAGUCAUUCUUCGUGUUUGAAUCCUCCUAUACGGAUUUAUUAUCAUUAGAUUAAUUUGGAAUAAAUAAAACGAGCAAUCACAGUAAUCAAUACACAUCUACAAUGAUCCAUCUUACUUCUUUACAAAUAAGAUUGGAGCUCUUGCUAGUGAUUUGGAAUGGCAUAUGAAAUUCUUGGCCAGAUUCUCUUCAAUAUAUUCCUUGAGUUCACCCAAUUUAUUUUUUGAUAAAUUAUAGAUUGGUCCAAAUGGCAGUAAUACUCCUUCUUGAAGAUCAAUUGAGCAGUCA
This 819-nucleotide long non-coding RNA is filed under the name Physcomitrium patens. RNAcentral's name for it is "long non-coding RNA (PPAT_LNC006097)". The record is from RNAcentral. Lineage: Eukaryota; Viridiplantae; Streptophyta; Bryopsida; Funariales; Funariaceae.